CAUGCAAGUCGAACGAUGAAGCCGGGGCUUUUUGUUUUGGUGGAUUAGUGGCGAACGGGUGAGUAAUACGUGAGUAACCUGCCCUUGUCUUUGGGAUAAGCCUGGGAAACUGGGUCUAAUACCGGAUAUUCUGCUUUUGCCGCAUGGUGGGGGUUGGAAAGAUUUUUUGGAUGGGGAUGGGCUCACGGCCUAUCAGCUUGUUGGUGGGGUGAUGGCCUACCAAGGCGUCGACGGGUAGCCGGCCUGAGAGGGUGACCGGCCACAUUGGGACUGAGAUACGGCCCAGACUCCUACGGGAGGCAGCAGUGGGGAAUAUUGCACAAUGGACGCAAGUCUGAUGCAGCGACGCCGCGUGGGGGAUGAAGGCUUUCGGGUUGUAAACUCCUUUCAGUACAGAAGAAGCAUUUUUGUGACGGUAUGUGCAGAAGAAGCGCCGGCUAACUACGUGCCAGCAGCCGCGGUAAUACGUAGGGCGCGAGCGUUGUCCGGAAUUAUUGGGCGUAAAGAGCUCGUAGGCGGUUUGUUGCGCCUGCUGUGAAAGACCGGGGCUUAACUUCGGGGUUGCAGUGGGUACGGGCAGACUAGAGUGUGGUAGGGGUAAUUGGAAUUCCUGGUGUAGCGGUGGAAUGCGCAGAUAUCAGGAGGAACACCGAUGGCGAAGGCAGGUUACUGGGCCAUUACUGACGCUGAGGAGCGAAAGCGUGGGUAGCGAACAGGAU
RNAcentral lists this ribosomal RNA (719 nucleotides) under Trueperella pyogenes. Its description in RNAcentral is "bacterial SSU rRNA". It matches the Rfam family "Bacterial small subunit ribosomal RNA", at positions 54 to 778 of the family's 1533-position model. The record is from RNAcentral. Lineage: Bacteria; Bacillati; Actinomycetota; Actinomycetes; Actinomycetales; Actinomycetaceae.